GGUGUUGUAGCUCAGCAGAAGAGCACCUGCUUAGCAUGCACGAGGUCCUGGGUUCAAUCCCCGGUACCUCCG
RNAcentral lists this transfer RNA (72 nucleotides) under Camelus bactrianus (Bactrian camel). It matches the Rfam family "tRNA". From Rfam's summary of the family: Transfer RNA (tRNA) molecules are approximately 80 nucleotides in length. Their secondary structure includes four short double-helical elements and three loops (D, anti-codon, and T loops). Further hydrogen bonds mediate the characteristic L-shaped molecular structure. tRNAs have two regions of fundamental functional importance: the anti-codon, which is responsible for specific mRNA codon recognition, and the 3' end, to which the tRNAs corresponding amino acid is attached (by aminoacyl-tRNA synthetases). tRNAs cope with the degeneracy of the genetic code in two manners: having more than one tRNA (with a specific anti-codon) for a particular amino acid; and 'wobble' base-pairing, i.e. permitting non-standard base-pairing at the 3rd anti-codon position. RNAcentral also lists the same sequence under 1 other name. Lineage: Eukaryota; Metazoa; Chordata; Mammalia; Artiodactyla; Camelidae. The record is from Rfam by way of RNAcentral.